RNAcentral lists this transfer RNA (87 nucleotides) under Kangiella sp. HZ709. RNAcentral's name for it is "tRNA-Leu". It matches the Rfam family "tRNA". Rfam says of the family: Transfer RNA (tRNA) molecules are approximately 80 nucleotides in length. Their secondary structure includes four short double-helical elements and three loops (D, anti-codon, and T loops). The record is from RNAcentral. Lineage: Bacteria; Pseudomonadati; Pseudomonadota; Gammaproteobacteria; Kangiellales; Kangiellaceae.
GCUCGGGUGGUGGAAUUGGUAGACACGCCAUCUUGAGGGGGUGGUGGCCGUAUGGCCGUGUGGGUUCAAGUCCCACUCCGAGCACCA